GCUUCUUCGGAAGCUUUCACUCGAGGAUGGGCCUGCGUCCCAUUAGCUAGUUGGUGAGGUAACGGCCCACCAAGGCAAUGAUGGGUAGCUGGUCUGAGAGGAUGGCCAGCCACACUGGAACUGAGACACGGUCCAGACUCCUACGGGAGGCAGCAGUGGGGAAUUUUGGGCAAUGGGCGAAAGCCUGACCCAGCAACGCCGCGUGUGGGAUGAAGGCCCUCGGGUCGUAAACCACUGUCGGGAGGAAAGAACAGCCAGCCGGAUAAUACUCGGUUGGUCUGACGGUACCUCCAAAGGAAGCGCCGGCUAACUCCGUGCCAGCAGCCGCGGUAAUACGGAGGGCGCAAGCGUUGUUCGGAAUUACUGGGCGUAAAGCGCAUGCAGGUGGCUGAGUAAGUCGAAUGUGAAAGCCCCGGGCUCAACCCGGGAACUGCAUCCGAAACUGCUUAGCUAGAGUCCCGGAGAGGAAGGCAGAAUUCCCAAUGUAGGGGUGAAAUCCGUAGAUAUUGGGAGGAAUACCGGUGGCGAAGGCGGCCUUCUGGACGGUGACUGACACUCAGAUGCGAAAGCGUGGGGAGCAAACAGGAUUAGAUACCCUGGUAGUCCACGCCGUAAACGUUGCGAACUAGGUGUCGGGGGUAUUCACCCCUCCGGUGCCGAAGCUAACGUCUUAAG
Molecule: ribosomal RNA, 675 nt
Filed under: uncultured bacterium
Lineage: Bacteria
Description: bacterial SSU rRNA
Rfam family: Bacterial small subunit ribosomal RNA
Source: RNAcentral